GACGAACGCUGGCGGCGUGCUUAACACAUGCAAGUCGAACGAUGAAGCUGGAGCUUGCUCCGGUGGAUUAGUGGCGAACGGGUGAGUAACACGUGAGCAAUCUGCCCUUGACUCUGGGAUAACUGCGGGAAACUGUAGCUAAUACCGGAUAUGAGGCUCGAAGGCAUCUUCGGGUCUGGAAAGAAUUUCGGUCAAGGAUGAGCUCGCGGCCUAUCAGCUUGUUGGUGAGGUAAUGGCUCACCAAGGCGACGACGGGUAGCCGGCCUGAGAGGGUGACCGGCCACGCUGGGACUGAGACACGGCCCAGACUCCUACGGGAGGCAGCAGUGGGGAAUAUUGCACAAUGGGCGAAAGCCUGAUGCAGCAACGCCGCGUGAGGGAUGAAGGCCUUCGGGUUGUAAACCUCUUUUAGCAGGGAAGAAGCGAGAGUGACGGUACCUGCAGAAAAAGCACCGGCUAACUACGUGCCAGCCGCCGCCGUAA
This 483-nucleotide ribosomal RNA is filed under the name uncultured bacterium. RNAcentral's name for it is "partial 16S ribosomal RNA". It matches the Rfam family "Bacterial small subunit ribosomal RNA", at positions 28 to 523 of the family's 1533-position model. The record is from RNAcentral.